Long non-coding RNA from Gallus gallus (chicken), 1651 nucleotides. NCBI's taxonomy places the organism in Eukaryota, Metazoa, Chordata, Aves, Galliformes, Phasianidae. The record is from Ensembl.
GAAACAAUCAUGGUAGUGUCACAUGCCUUUACCAAGAAGCAAGGAUGAUCCUGACCAUCUCCAGAAGGUGUUAUGUCCCAACCCCAAACUAACAAUUCCUGGACGUGCCGGGCUCUCCAGUUCCCCUAUUAAGGUAAUUCUCUCCCCAUUUUAUAUAGUGCUACAGUACAUUGUGUAUGCGAGGUGUAGAGAGGGACUUGGACCCAGAGGCGAGAGUGCUGCUGAUUGGGUUUUUAUGACAGAGGCACUGAGAGCUCCAUUUCCAGCCCAGCUCUCUUUUGUAAAUCACAGGCACUAAGAGUCUUUCACAAAGGAAAUCUGUUUUUUCUAUGACACUUAGGGUUACAUUCACAGCAUAAAUCUUCCAUUGACCAAGCUACUCUUUGCUAUUAAAAAGAGUUUAAAAGGCUUCAGGCUGUACCAUUUCAUAUGUUUUAGCACAGCAUGAUCAUAAAGGAAGUGACUUGAAGCAGGUGUGAUUUCAGAAUAUGCCAGUUGACCUUAGAAGUAACCAUGAAUUUUAGCACAGUGAUAACCACAGGCAAUUAUGUACAUCUAUCCAUGUUCGUGUCAAGAGAAAGAUGGGAACUAGAUUCUCCAAAUGUCAAGACCAUGAAAGUAUUCAAAUAAGCCCCUCAAGAGCAAUAGCAAAAUCUCCCACUCCUCUCUUCAUCAAAAGAGGUGAACUCCAACUGGCAAAGCAGAUAGAAAAAGGAAAUACAAUGACAGCACCAAUGAAGCAGUUAUGUGGCUUCAGUUGCAGCAGUACUAGGAUAUCCUGCAUACAAACCUGCUCUGCCACAUUAAGAAUUCACAUCUAGAUUGAAGUCAAAAAGAAAAAUUUGUGCAAUUCUUACAGUGAGUUUUGGAACUAUUCACACUUAUGUAGCAUAUACAAGAUCUUAGCUCUCGUUGGGAGUCUAGUCAGGGCAAAGGGCAAGCUAUGGUCCAGCAUUAAGUUGGACCAAGAAGAAUCCAGCCCUACUCACUGUUCAGACAGAAAUUACCAAGUUCUAACACUCCAGGACUGAACCAAAGCACAUGUGUUCUGAGGCUGAGCCUGCCAGGGCCUGAAUACACCAACAGGUUGUGCACUCCACCUCCACUGGGCCUGCACUGUCUGUGCCAGAAGCUAUCCUUGCAAGCUAGCCAGUGACACUUCUAGUUGGAGAAGAGCCAAGAGAAGCCAAAUCAAGGAAUGAAGCCUUCCACCCUUUGCGUGGGAACUGCUUUUAUGCUCAGGAUAUUGCUCCUGAGGCACACCGCAGCCACGCCAGUCUCUGGCCACAUUCCUCCCUGAUCCCGACUCACUGACGUGGCUUCCUGUAUUCACCUCAGAUCUGCCUUAUCACUGGGAGCUUUCCAGGUCAUUGCUGGGCUGUGGCUGACCGUUGUUACUAAGGCCGGACCAUUCUCUGCCACCACCUUGAAGCCAGCCUCUGCUCCCAACUCCCCUUCCCCAGCAGAGAAUCCUUUCUCUGGCUGCAUGCUCUGACUGUACCCUCAAGUCCAUGGAGAGUAGUCCGGAUAAGGAAUAUUGCAGAGCUGGUAUGAUUCCUAUUAUAAUCCUUCUAAAUGGAGAAACGAGGGCAAGAGCAACUUGAAUUUUAUUUUCCUUAUCAUUUCUUCAGAGCCCUGGAGAGGACAAAAU